RNAcentral lists this ribosomal RNA (1398 nucleotides) under Triticum aestivum (bread wheat). Its description in RNAcentral is "partial small subunit ribosomal RNA". The record is from RNAcentral. Lineage: Eukaryota; Viridiplantae; Streptophyta; Magnoliopsida; Poales; Poaceae.
AUGCAGCUGGAGCUUCUCAUGGUGCCGCAUCUCCUUCUCGGCCUGCUCCUUCUGCCGCUCUCGCCCUCGGCGUCGGCGGCGGUCACCCACCUGCCAGGAUUCCAUGGCCCUCUGCCCUUGUACCUCGAGACCGGGUACGUGGACGUGGAGGAGAAGACCGGGACGAAGCUCUUCUACUACUUCGUGGAGUCGGAGAGGAGCCCCGGCACGGUCCCCGUGCUGCUGUGGCUCACCGGCGGGCCCCGCUGCUCGGGCUUCAGCGGCUUCGCCUUCGAAGUUGGCCCUGUAAAUUUUGUGCUGGCACCUUAUGAUGGUCAUUUGCCGCAGUUGGUCUAUAAUCCGCAUUCAUGGUCGAAGAUGGCAAGUAUCAUCUUCUUGGAUUCUCCUGUCGGUUCUGGUUUCUCAUAUGCUCGUGAUCCAAAAGGCUAUGAUGUUGGGGACAUGUCAUCUUCCUUGCAAGUCGUGACAUUUCUGAACAAGUGGUUCGACGAGCACCCACGCUAUCGUUCAAAUGCAUUUUACAUUGGAGGAAGUUCAUAUGCUGGGAAGAUCAUUCCGCUUAUCGCGCAAUAUAUCUCAGAAGGAAUUGAGCAAAGGAAGCAACCUGUGAUUAAUCUCAAGGGCUAUUUAGUUGGCAACCCUAUUACAGGCUCCAGGUAUACUGAUUCCAAUUCCAGAAUACCAUAUGCUCAUGGCUUUGGAAUCAUACCGGGACAACUAUAUGAGGCUGCAAUUGAGAACUGUAAAGGAGACUAUAUAAACCCGCUGAAUAACAUAUGUGCUGGGAUUCUAAAUACUAUUGAAAAGCUCCUUUCGGAAGUCGACCACGAUCAUAUCUUGGAUGACAAAUGUGUACGCACUGCACCAAACCCUGUGAAUGCUGCUGCUGAAAGAAAUAGGUUUCUGUCAGAAGAACACAUUCAACAAAAUGUUCCAUCUCCUCAUCCUACUAUUAAUUGUUUUUCGUACCGUUACUACCUAGCUAACAUUUGGGCGAAUGAAAACGUGACUAGAGAUGCUCUUCGGAUAAAGCAGGGAACAAUUGGCGAGUGGGUAAGAUGCAUCACAGGAUUGCCCUAUACGGGAGACCUCCCAAGCAGCAUACCGUACCACCUUAAUCUCAGCACCAGGGGUUACCGUGUGCUUGUGUUCAGCGGAGACCAUGACCCUGGGGUACCAUUUUUGGGAACAUAUGAGUGGAUCAGAUCCUUAAACUUCUCCAUUGUUGAUGACUGGAGAGCAUGGCAUGUGGAUGGUCAGAGUGGAGGAUUCACGGUUGCAUAUGCCAACAAUAUUACAUUCGCCACGGUAAAGGGUGGUGGCCAUACAGCAAUACGACACCAGCCUAAACAAUGUUUUGCCAUGGCUCAGCGUUGGCUGGACAACGAGCCUCUCUGA